RNAcentral lists this ribosomal RNA (330 nucleotides) under uncultured bacterium. Its description in RNAcentral is "bacterial SSU rRNA". It matches the Rfam family "Bacterial small subunit ribosomal RNA", at positions 28 to 334 of the family's 1533-position model. The record is from RNAcentral.
GACGAACGCUGGCGGCGUGCCUAACACAUGCAAGUCGAACGGAGAUAUUCGCUGAUGAAGUACUUCGGUAAUGAUUCUUGAAUAUCUUAGUGGCGGACGGGUGAGUAACGCGUGAGCAACCUGCCUUUCAGAGGGGGAUAACGUUCGGAAACGAACGCUAAUACCGCAUGAUAUUGUUGAGUCGCAUGACUUGAUAAUCAAAGGAGCAAUCCGCUGAAAGAUGGGCUCGCGUCCGAUUAGGUAGUUGGUGGGGCAACGGCCCACCAAGCCGACGAUCGGUAGCCGGACUGAGAGGUUGAACGGCCACAUUGGGACUGAGACACGGCCCAG